RNAcentral lists this non-coding RNA (82 nucleotides) under unclassified sequences. RNAcentral describes it as "RT-18 RNA". It matches the Rfam family "RT-18 RNA". From Rfam's summary of the family: Clostridiales (Firmicutes). The record is from Rfam by way of RNAcentral.
UACCGCUUGGUAAAAAUUCAUCGGUGCAGCAGAGGUUAGUAGAAUAUUAUUUUAUUCAAACAUCUUUGAGAUUAAGAAAGAA